GUGCUCCCUUCCACAGCACAUAUACUAAAAUUGGAACGAUACAGAGAUUAGCAUGGCACCUGUACAAGGAUGACAUGCAAAUUCGUGAAGCGUUCCAUAUUUUU
RNAcentral lists this small nuclear RNA (104 nucleotides) under Canis lupus familiaris (dog). The record is from RNAcentral. RNAcentral also lists the same sequence under 1 other name. Lineage: Eukaryota; Metazoa; Chordata; Mammalia; Carnivora; Canidae.